CCCUGAGCACAGGCUCAGGGCUUCUGUUUCCCGAUUCUGUAACCAGGGGGUCUGCUCGUG
This 60-nucleotide non-coding RNA is filed under the name Enterobacter cancerogenus. RNAcentral's name for it is "ClpQY_promoter". It matches the Rfam family "ClpQY promoter". The record is from RNAcentral. Lineage: Bacteria; Pseudomonadati; Pseudomonadota; Gammaproteobacteria; Enterobacterales; Enterobacteriaceae.